RNAcentral lists this ribosomal RNA (810 nucleotides) under uncultured bacterium. RNAcentral's name for it is "bacterial SSU rRNA". It matches the Rfam family "Bacterial small subunit ribosomal RNA", at positions 8 to 796 of the family's 1533-position model. The record is from RNAcentral.
AGAGUUUGAUCAUGGCUCAGAAUCAACGCUGGCGGCGUGCCUCAGACAUGCAAGUCGAACGCGAAAGAGACCUUCGGGUUUCAAGUAGAGUGGCGUCCGGGUGAGUAACACGUAGGUAAUCUACCUUCGGGUGGGGAAUAACGCAGGGAAACUUGCGCUAAUACCGCAUAAUGCAGCGGCACCACAUGGUGACAGUUGUUAAAGCGGGGGAUUUUCGAACCUCGCGCCUGAAGAGGAGCCUGCGGCAGAUUAGCUAGUUGGUAAGGUAAUGGCUUACCAAGGCGACGAUCUGUAACCGGCCUGAGAGGGCGGUCGGUCACACUGACACUGACAUACGGGUCAGACUCCUACGGGAGGCAGCAGUCGGGAAUUUUGGGCAAUGGGCGAAAGCCUGACCCAGCAACGCCGCGUGAAGGAUGAAAUCCCUCGGGAUGUAAACUUCGCAAGAAUAGGAAGAAUUAGCGAGCGCUAAUACCGCUCGUGAUGACGGUACUAUUUGUAAGCUCCGGCUAACUCCGUGCCAGCAGCCGCGGUAAUACGGGGGGAGCAAGCGUUGUUCGGAUUUACUGGGCGUAAAGGGCGCGUAGGCGGCCAGCACAAGUCAGUUGUGAAAUCUCCGGGCUUAACUCGGAAAGGUCAACUGAUACUGUGCGGCUAGAGUGCAGAAGGGGCAACUGGAAUUCUCGGUGUAGCGGUGAAAUGCGUAGAUAUCGAGAGGAACACCUGCGGCGAAGGCGGGUUGCUGGGCUGACACUGACGCUGAUGCGCGAAAGCCAGGGGAGCGAACGGGAUUAGAUACCCUAGUAGUCC